This 433-nucleotide ribosomal RNA is filed under the name Rhizobiales bacterium 'ARUP UnID 154'. RNAcentral's name for it is "bacterial SSU rRNA". It matches the Rfam family "Bacterial small subunit ribosomal RNA", at positions 27 to 504 of the family's 1533-position model. The record is from RNAcentral. Lineage: Bacteria; Pseudomonadati; Pseudomonadota; Alphaproteobacteria; Hyphomicrobiales.
GAACGAACGCUGGCGGCAGGCCUAACACAUGCAAGUCGAGCGCCCGGAUUUAUCCGGGAGCGGCGCACGGGUGAGUAACGCGUGGGAACAUGCCCUGAAGUACGGAACAACCUGGGGAAACCUUGGCUAAUACCGUAUACGCCCUGAGGGGGAAAGAUUUAUCGCUUUGGGAUUGGCCCGCGUUGGAUUAGCURGUUGGUGUGGUAACGGCGCACCAAGGCGACGAUCCAUAACUGGUCUGAGAGGAUGACCAGUCACACUGGGACUGAGACACGGCCCAGACUCCUACGGGAGGCAGCAGUGGGGAAUAUUGGACAAUGGGCGCAAGCCUGAUCCAGCCAUGCCGCGUGAGUGAAGAAGGCCUUCGGGUUGUAAAGCUCUUUCAGCGGGGACGAUGAUGACGGUACCCGCAGAAGAAGCCCCGGCUAACUUC